AUGAGCCGGCUGCCAUCCAGUUUCACACGGAUCCUCUCACCCAUAAGUUUCAUUUGGGAAGACCAAGUCUUUAAGGAUGGCGUCGUGCACUGCUGCCAGGGUGAAGAUCCAGGGGGCGCUUUUGCUUAUUUUUCACACUGCUUUUCAGGUUGGCUUGGGCAGAAUCCUCCUCUCAGCAGUGAAGACUACCUCCUUCCCACUGAACUUUUUCUCCAGUUCAUGAACUUGCCGGACUUGGAUUUGCUGGAAAGACUUCAGCGAGGAACUGGCACAAAAAUCCUGAUAGCUUUCCGACCACCACUGACUUCAAUUUCCUUGGCCACGGUGAUGUUGAGUCCCCACAGCCGCGCCUUGAGAUCUGAGUUCACUCCAGCUUGGGCAGCGCCUGAGAGAUGCCAGACUCGCACUGGUUCGGCUUCUCAUCAUUGGGCUUUAGCAGUCUUGGCUCUCGAGCUGAGCACAGCUUUGUCCUCAUGGAGUGCCGGCUUACAAAGAGGCACAGCGAGACGAAAAGAAAGAUUUAAAACACAAAAUCCUGGCCUGGUUAAGGAGUUAGUCAUUAUCUGAAACUUGCUGACUUUGAACAAGAUUAAAAGCAGAUGGAGAGAGAUGGAGUGGUGAAGAAGAUGCAGCAAGCAUUUGGUAUCCUUAAUACAAGACAUGGAGUAAGGUAGAGAACAUACAGGAGGCUGGACAAUGGACUUCCCAGUGAAGACCUCAUAGUUCAGCAACUACUGAUAGAGUCACUGUGAUGCUUCUGAGUCACCAGAGCACAGAACACUGAGGACCUCCACAACCUUCCUGUCCCCAACCAGAACCCCUUCAGGGGACAACACAGACCCUUACAAGCUCAAGUGAGAGUUUAUUUACUCUCAUGGUAAUCCACUAUUCGUCUAAUAAAUACAAAUACAG
RNAcentral lists this long non-coding RNA (912 nucleotides) under Mus spicilegus (steppe mouse). RNAcentral's name for it is "lncRNA (ENSMSIG00000006116.1)". The record is from RNAcentral. Lineage: Eukaryota; Metazoa; Chordata; Mammalia; Rodentia; Muridae.